Limanda limanda (common dab) is the source of this 467-nucleotide long non-coding RNA. RefSeq lists it as uncharacterized. NCBI's taxonomy places the organism in Eukaryota, Metazoa, Chordata, Actinopteri, Pleuronectiformes, Pleuronectidae. The transcript is spliced from 4 exons. The record is from RefSeq and is a predicted model, not a curated record.
UGUCUUUCUGCAACACUCCUCUUGGAAGCAUGCGUUCUCCGGGUCGACCUGCUCGACUCGAAAUAUUUGCCUUAAAUAUGGAAGUGAAUCGACAAUUGUUUAUAUCGACUAAUCGUUAUUACGGUUCAGGAGGUUGAAGAGAAAUUAGUUUGAAUUUGAUGAGGCGCUGAAAAUCAUGCGUGUACGAGCACGGAGACAAGGCCGCACCAGCCAGGAGGGUCACAUGAGCUGGCGAUGAACUGGGAUUGAGGCGAUGGCUCACCCACACGUGGAGCUGCAGAUGGAGGCCUGCUAAGACGCUGUUGACGAUGGUGGAAUGAUCUCUGCAUUAACAACAUGGCAUCAGACUGAAAUGGACCAGAACCGUGUAAAGGACCAGAUGACACCAUGGCUUACAAUGUCUGCAUUUCCUGAUCAGUUCUUGAUCUGUAAAUGUAAAAGUAUCUGAAUAAAGCAUUGUUUUUAAA